This is a long non-coding RNA of Brassica napus (rape), 1372 nucleotides long. RefSeq lists it as uncharacterized. The record is from RefSeq and is a predicted model, not a curated record. NCBI's taxonomy places the organism in Eukaryota, Viridiplantae, Streptophyta, Magnoliopsida, Brassicales, Brassicaceae. The transcript has 4 exons.
CCUUCUCAUCAUCGACCGCGAGACGCAGAGAUUCGAGCCUGUUCAGUAUCCCUAACGCCUCUGAUUUCAAUAACUCUGCAACUUAACUCCACUGAGCGGUAGAGAAGGCGAGAGCCACCACUGGAUCUCUCUCUCUCUCCCGUGCCUCGCUCUUUCACGUUUACAUCUCUCUCUCUCUCUCUCUCUCUCUGAGUUUUGAUUUCGAUUUGAAAGCCAGCUACUGUCACGAACACCGUCAAAGUCCGAUUGUUGAGGUUUUGGAAAGCUCAUGGGGUAGACAUGUCCUCUUCGACCAGAAGGUCUUCAAAACGAAUUGCAGUAUACUAGGAAAAUCUAUGUCACCGGCACGGAAGAGCACACAAAACCACCAUGAACGUGCUUACAAUAGCUGGAAUCAUAGGAAAAAAAGGCAUCGAGUGAAAAAGAUGAAUUUUAAUUGAGCAAGAGAUUCACAUGUUGCGAGAAAAAAGAUUUGCUCAAUGGAAAGAGAGGUAAGGAUGAUAAUUUCAGACCUAAGUUCAAUACCAGAAAGACCUGGCAGCUUACACGUGGAAUACACCAACUAAGCUUUGGUAUAAGGGGGUAUGGUUCUUGCACGCAACCCCUAAAUUCUCUCUUCUUUCUUGGAUUGCAAUCCAUGACAGGUUUUCCACAGGAGAUCAUAUAAGGAAGUGGAACUCAGGAGCAUCCACCACUUAUAUCCUUUAGAGACCCUGACCAUCUUUAUUUUCACUAAGUUUUUGGAGAAGGUAUGGGAAAAUCUUACUUUAAAGCUUUUUGGUUCAAGUACACAACAGUAGAAACGGAUAUUAGAUAUUCUGGUUGAAAUUAUUGGGAUCAAGUCAGUCAGUUUAUCAUUCAGUAUGUAUUCCAAGCAACAAUUCACUUAGUAUGACGGAAGAGGAACGUAAUGACUUCAAUUCCUGCAUCUUGUGUAAUACAAAACAUUGACAAAAUGGUCUGGCACAAAAUUUCAUCUCUGCUAGGAUAAGAGGCAAUCAAUAUGUAGAAGCUAUGGAAAUUUGGUUUGCUUCAAGGCCUGUAAGAGUGUAUUAAACAAGUAUUUGGGGGUAAACAUUGCUUCGCCAACAACAAACAUAUGAAGGAUGUCUCAGGUGGUGUGUACUGCUCAAAUGUAAUUGGUAGGACAAGAGAGAGCAUGUUGCUAACGAAAUGGGAAAGGAUGAGAAAAGAGACUUAUUUAAUUAGAUCUUUGUUUUGUUCGGCCGUGGAUAAGAUUCUCCUGCUUUUGGAUUAUAGAUAUUGAGUGCAGGUUUUGAAAUUUUGAUAGCGAGUCUGGAGCGAAAGGUUUUGUUUCCUUUACUGAGAUCUCUAUUUCAUCAAAGAUAUGCAUGCAGUCACUGUUUUGUCA